UAACCUCUAGCGAAAACCGUGUAUGUUG
Regulatory RNA element from Formosa sp. Hel3_A1_48, 28 nucleotides. It matches the Rfam family "L19-Flavobacteria ribosomal protein leader". NCBI's taxonomy places the organism in Bacteria, Pseudomonadati, Bacteroidota, Flavobacteriia, Flavobacteriales, Flavobacteriaceae. The record is from Rfam.